This 510-nucleotide ribosomal RNA is filed under the name Ptycta diastema. RNAcentral describes it as "partial 16S ribosomal RNA". The stretch from base 377 to 510 matches the Rfam family "Bacterial large subunit ribosomal RNA", at positions 2473 to 2607 of the family's 2925-position model. The record is from RNAcentral. Lineage: Eukaryota; Metazoa; Arthropoda; Insecta; Psocodea; Psocidae.
AAAACAUGUCUUUUUUAUAAAAAUUUAAAGUCAGGUCUGCUCACUGAAUUAUUUUAAAGAGCCGCAGUAUAUUGACUGUGCAAAGGUAGCAUAAUCAAUAGUUUUUUAAUUGGAAACUAGAAUGAAAGAUUAGACGAAAAAUUAAUUUUCUUUGUUUUAAUAAAUUUAAUUUUAAAUUUAAGUGAAAAUGCUUAAAUAAAAUUAAAAGACGAGAAGACCCUAUAGAUUUUUAUUAUUGAAAUAAAUUUUUAAAUUUAAUUUAAUAAAAUAAUUUAAUUGGGGCGAUUUUAUAAUAUAAAUAACUUAAUUUUUUAAAACCAUAAAUAAUUGAAUAUUUGAUCUAAAAUUUUUAAAGAAAAGAUUAAAUUACCUUAGGGAUAACAGCGUAAUUUUAUUUAAGAGUUCAUAUCUAUAAUAAAGUUUGCGACCUCGAUGUUGAAUUAAGAUAAUAUAUUGGAGUAGAAAUUAAUAUAAUUAGUCUGUUCGACUAUUAAAUUCUUACGUGAUCUG